Molecule: ribosomal RNA, 253 nt
Filed under: uncultured bacterium
Lineage: Bacteria
Description: partial 16S ribosomal RNA
Rfam family: Bacterial small subunit ribosomal RNA
Source: RNAcentral
UACGGAGGGUGCAAGCGUUAAUCGGAAUUACUGGGCGUAAAGCGCACGCAGGCGGUUUGUUAAGUCAGAUGUGAAAUCCCCGGGCUCAACCUGGGAACUGCAUUUGAUACUGGCAAGCUUGAGUCUCGUAGAAGGGGGUAGAAUUCCACGUGUAGCGGUGAAAUGCGUAGAGAUGUGGAGGAAUACCGAUGGCGAAGGCGGCCCCCUGGACGAAGACUGACGCUCAGGUGCGAAAGCGUGGGGAGCAAACAGG